RNAcentral lists this ribosomal RNA (500 nucleotides) under Starmerella lactis-condensi. RNAcentral describes it as "LSU rRNA". It matches the Rfam family "Eukaryotic large subunit ribosomal RNA", at positions 53 to 654 of the family's 3401-position model. Lineage: Eukaryota; Fungi; Ascomycota; Dipodascomycetes; Dipodascales; Trichomonascaceae. The record is from RNAcentral.
GAGGAAAAGAAACCAACAGGGAUUGCUCUAGUAACGGCGAGUGAACAAGCAAAAGCUCAGUUUUGAAAGCCUACUUUGUAGGCAUUGUAUUCUGAAGCCUAGAUUCUGGGAAACGGUGUUUAAGUCUUCUGGAAAGGAGCGCCACGGAGGGUGAUAGCCCCGUACGGCACUGACCCCAUUGUAGUUUCUAGGCGUGGAGUCGAGUUGUUUGGGAAUGCAGCUCAAAUGGGAGGUAUGCUCCUUCUAAAGCUAAAUAUUUGCGAGAGACCGAUAGCGAACAAGUACUGUGAAGGAAAGAUGAAAAGAACUUUGAAAAGAGAGUGAAAUAGGACGUGAAAUUGUUGAAAUGGAAGGGUAGGCUGCUAACCAUGUAGGACCGUGUCUGAGGGGAAGAUAAAAGCUACGGAAUGUGACUCUUCGGAGUGUUAUAGCCGUGGUCAAUGUUCCCACUUAGGCGCGAGGAUCUCAGGUUCUACUAAAUGGUGGUCUACCACCCGUCU